GAUGAACGCUGGCGGCGUGCCUAAUACAUGCAAGUCGAGCGAACAGACGAGGAGCUUGCUCCUCUGACGUUAGCGGCGGACGGGUGAGUAACACGUGGAUAACCUACCUAUAAGACUGGGAUAACUUCGGGAAACCGGAGCUAAUACCGGAUAAUAUAUUGAACCGCAUGGUUCAAUAGUGAAAGACGGUUUUGCUGUCACUUAUAGAUGGAUCCGCGCCGCAUUAGCUAGUUGGUAAGGUAACGGCUUACCAAGGCAACGAUGCGUAGCCGACCUGAGAGGGUGAUCGGCCACACUGGAACUGAGACACGGUCCAGACUCCUACGGGAGGCAGCAGUAGGGAAUCUUCCGCAAUGGGCGAAAGCUUGACGGAGCAACGCAGCGUGAGUGAUGAAGGUCUUCGGAUCGUAAAACUCUGUUAUUAGUGAAGAACAAAUGUGUAAGUAACUAUGCACGUCUUGACGGUACCUAAUCAGAAAGCCACGGCUAACUACGUG
This 497-nucleotide ribosomal RNA is filed under the name uncultured bacterium. RNAcentral's name for it is "partial 16S ribosomal RNA". It matches the Rfam family "Bacterial small subunit ribosomal RNA", at positions 28 to 507 of the family's 1533-position model. The record is from RNAcentral.